GGUCGCGCGGAUCUUCAGAGAUUAGAGUUUGAUCAUGGCUCAGAUUGAACGCUGGCGGAAUGCUUUACACAUGCAAGUCGAACGGCAGCACGGACUUCGGUCUGGUGGCGAGUGGCGAACGGGUGAGUAACAUAUCGGAACGUAUCCAAUAAUGGGGGAUAACUAAUCGAAAGGUUGGCUAAUACCGCAUACGCCCUGAGGGGGAAAGCUAGGGAUCUUCGGACCUGGCGUUAAUGGAGCGGCCGAUAUCUGAUUAGCUAGUUGGUGGGGUAAAGGCCCACCAAGGCGACGAUCAGUAGCUGGUCUGAGAGGACGACCAGCCACACUGGAACUGAGACACGGUCCAGACUCCUACGGGAGGCAGCAGUGGGGAAUUUUGGACAAUGGGCGCAAGCCUGAUCCAGCCAUUCCGCGUGAGUGAAGAAGGCCUUCGGGUUGUAAAGCUCUUUCGCAAGGGAAGAAAACUUAUCCUCUAACAUAGGAUGAGGUUGACGGUACCUUGAUAAGAAGCACCGGCUAACUACGUGCCAGCAGCCGCGGUAAUACGUAGGGUGCGAGCGUUAAUCGGAAUUACUGGGCGUAAAGCGUGCGCAGGCUGUUUUGUAAGUCAGAUGUGAAAUCCCCGAGCUCAACUUGGGAACUGCGUUUGAAACUACAAGACUAGAAUAGGUCAGAGGGGGGUAGAAUUCCACGUGUAGCAGUGAAAUGCGUAGAGAUGUGGAGGAAUAUCAAUGGCGAAGGCAGCCCCCUGGGAUCAUAUUGACGCUCAUGCACGAAAGCGUGGGGAGCAAACAGGAUUAGAUACCCUGGUAGUCCACGCCCUAAACGAUGUCUACUAGUUGUUGGUGGAGUAAAAUCCAUGAGUAACGCAGCUAACGCGUGAAGUAGACCGCCUGGGGAGUACGGUCGCAAGAUUAAAACUCAAAUGAAUUGACGGGGGCCCGCACAAGCGGUGGAUUAUGUGGAUUAAUUCGAUGCAACGCGAAAAACCUUACCUGGCCUUGACAUGUACGG
This 1014-nucleotide ribosomal RNA is filed under the name uncultured bacterium. Its description in RNAcentral is "bacterial SSU rRNA". It matches the Rfam family "Bacterial small subunit ribosomal RNA", at positions 1 to 993 of the family's 1533-position model. The record is from RNAcentral.